CAGCCGCCGCGGUAAUACGAAGGGUGCAAGCGUUACUCGGAAUUACUGGGCGUAAAGCGUGCGUAGGUGGUGGUUUAAGUCCGUUGUGAAAGCCCUGGGCUCAACCUGGGAAUUGCAGUGGAUACUGGGUCACUAGAGUGUGGUAGAGGAUAGUGGAAUUUCCGGUGUAGCAGUGAAAUGCGUAGAGAUCGGAAGGAACAUCUGUGGCGAAGGCGAUUAUCUGGGCCAACACUGACACUGAGGCACGAAAGCGUGGGGAGCAAACAGGAUUAGAUACCCCCGUAGUCCCUGUCUCUUAUAA
This 301-nucleotide ribosomal RNA is filed under the name uncultured bacterium. RNAcentral describes it as "partial 16S ribosomal RNA". It matches the Rfam family "Bacterial small subunit ribosomal RNA", at positions 509 to 809 of the family's 1533-position model. The record is from RNAcentral.